This 690-nucleotide long non-coding RNA is filed under the name Sorghum bicolor (sorghum). RNAcentral describes it as "long non-coding RNA (SBIC_LNC009273)". The record is from RNAcentral. Lineage: Eukaryota; Viridiplantae; Streptophyta; Magnoliopsida; Poales; Poaceae.
AACAAACUAGCAUCAGUCAGAACAAGAAAAACAGAUAACCAAAAACCAAAGAAUACACAAAUGAGACUAGAACAACCAACUAAGUCGGAGGCCAAGACCCUCGGUAGGCAAGGGAUCGAAGGAAUUCGAAUCGUUCGUCGUCAAUAUCAAACUCAACAAAUUCAAACAUAUCAACUACACUCAUGUUAGGAAAGGCAGUUCGCCAAUACUCCCACAAGUCACCUAGAACAUAAAUUCCAUUGAAAAAAAUGGAAAGUGGGGCCUUAGAAGAAUCCUGCGCAAGUACUCCAUUAGAGACCUGCGCAGGAUAAAAUGUAAAACAAACACAUCCAUUCAAGAUCAAAUUAAUAUAUUACACAACCAACAAGUUUUACAACUAACACAACUCUUAUCCUUUUUACAAAAGCGUUACUUAGACGCAAACACUAAAAAAAUCCUAAAACCAAAAAACACUCACACCUAGGUCGGAGGAGGAACGGAAGCACCAACUCCCUCAAGAACUUUGGCACCAGUCGCAGGAUCCUCCGUGUUAGCUUUAAUCGAAGGAGGCGCACCGCCAGGAGGGCGUGAAGGAUCGACCUUGUCACCCUUCGCCCGCUUCUUGGCAAGCUCCUACAAAAACAAAGUCAUUAAACACAAAGGCAAAAACCACGCACUAUCCAAAGUACAACAAAACAAUGACAUACCUCG